UGACAGAAUACAUGGCUAAUUGAGCGGGAACAAAGGCAAGUGGCAGUGAUUUAUGCAAGGGACAAGGUCACAUGAAUAGAGAAUCAUGUGAAGUGAAUAAAAACAAUGUCGGAGGGUCCCUUGAAGAUCAGUCACAACCAUGAAUUGCAUUUCUCGCCAAUAGGGACCCAGCGUGCCCUGCGAGGCGCCGCUACGUACACUGUCCCUAAACGCGUGGCUCAGCAUGUGGCUCCCUUCAUUGUACCACCACGCCACAAAGCAAGGAAGGAGUGAAAGAAUGAAGAACCAGAACGCAACGAAAACACGAGACGGUGUGACAGGCACACGCCACGUGAACGAGGGGCGAGUGGCCGUCUCAUGCACUCACCCCAACACCUCCUUCUAACCCCCCCGCGCCACGGUCAUGCGGGCACGCGACCAGCAGCAGUCAGGCAGGGGCGGCGGCGGGCAGGCAGGGCAGCGCGGUGAGGAUUAAGAGGGAGGAGCUAAUGCCUGAGAAGAAGGGAGACGAA
Portunus trituberculatus (swimming crab) is the source of this 512-nucleotide long non-coding RNA. RefSeq lists it as uncharacterized. NCBI's taxonomy places the organism in Eukaryota, Metazoa, Arthropoda, Malacostraca, Decapoda, Portunidae. The transcript is spliced from 3 exons. The record is from RefSeq and is a predicted model, not a curated record.